Molecule: ribosomal RNA, 380 nt
Filed under: uncultured Enterobacteriaceae bacterium
Lineage: Bacteria; Pseudomonadati; Pseudomonadota; Gammaproteobacteria; Enterobacterales; Enterobacteriaceae
Description: bacterial SSU rRNA
Rfam family: Bacterial small subunit ribosomal RNA
Source: RNAcentral
AGAGAUAGCUUAGUGCCUUCGGGAACUCUGAGACAGGUGCUGCAUGGCUGUCGUCAGCUCGUGUUGUGAAAUGUUGGGUUAAGUCCCGCAACGAGCGCAACCCUUAUCCUUUGUUGCCAGCGAGUAAUGUCGGGAACUCAAAGGAGACUGCCGGUGAUAAACCGGAGGAAGGUGGGGAUGACGUCAAGUCAUCAUGGCCCUUACGAUAGGGCUACACACGUGCUACAAUGGCAUAUACAAAGAGAAGCGAACUCGCGAGAGCAAGCGGACCUCAUAAAGUAUGUCGUAGUCCGGAUUGGAGUCUGCAACUCGACUCCAUGAAGUCGGAAUCGCUAGUAAUCGUAGAUCAGAAUGCUACGGUGAAUACGUUCCCGGGCCUU